Bos indicus x Bos taurus (hybrid cattle) is the source of this 1384-nucleotide long non-coding RNA. The record is from Ensembl. NCBI's taxonomy places the organism in Eukaryota, Metazoa, Chordata, Mammalia, Artiodactyla, Bovidae.
CGUUAAUGUGUUGUUAGGUUUGCUAGAACCGAAAUCAAACCACUUUAAUUCUUAUGGGAAUUAGAGGGAGUGAAUAAAUAGAAUCUUGAAGCGUAUGUCAUUUUGACCUGGUGUAAAACUGAGAGUUCAAGAGCGGGGAAAGUGGACCAUAUGUAUUAUAGACAUAAGGUCAGGUGUUCUCCAAAGCUGCUUAUCUAUUCACUGCUGUUGGAUGUUUUUAGACUUUGCCGCAUUAUCAAGAUACUUGCCUUUUGGCAUGUCCGUCCUUAUAUGACAUUCAGAGCUAAGAAGGAAGGAAGAAAAGAAGGAAAGGAAAGGAAGAAGAGACCAGUAGGUAAAGAGCUAAUUUACUACUCUGGCAAGAGGCCAUGUUAUUGGAUUAGUGAAGAACAGUGGACAAUACAUGGUAUUAUGACUUUCAGGUCAUUCUUCUACCUUCAUUAAGGACAUUAGCACUACUUCUCUAAGCCCUGCGGCUGCCCCGAGGGACUCCAACAUCCAUGUGUGAUGACAGCAGAGGAAAGGAUGGACAGCACAGCUUCUGGAGCAGACAGACCUCAACUCAAAUCUCAGAUGUGCAAGUUAUUAGCAGAAUGACUUUGAAUUAAUCACUGAAGCUUGGUUUGUUCUCUGUAAAAUGAGAAUACUCACUUCUUCAUAGUGAGAAUUUUUAUUUUACUGUUUAUUAACUACACUGCCAAAAGGUCUGUCUAGUCAAGGCUAUGGUUUUUCCAGUGGUCAUGUAUGGAUGUGAGAGUUGGACUGUGAAGAAAGCUGAGCACUGAAGAAUUGAUGCUUUUGAACUGUGGUGUUGGAGAAGACUCUUGAGAGUCCCUUGGACUGCAAGGAGAUCCAACCAGUCCAUCCUAAAGGAGACCAGUCUUGGGUGUUCAUUGGAAGGACUGAUGCUGAGGCUGAAACUCUAAUACUUUGGCCACCUCAUGCGAAGAGUUGACUCAUUGGAAAAGACUCUGAUGCUGGGAGGGAUUGAGGGCAGGAGGAGAAGGGGAUGACAGAGGAGGAGAUGGCUGGAUGACAUCACUGACUUGAUGGACGUGAGUCUGGGUGAACUCCGGGAGUUGGUGAUGGACAGGGAGGCCUGGCGUGUUGCGAUUCAUGGGGUCACAAAGAGUCGGACGUGACUGAGCAACUGAACUGAACUGAACUGAACUACACUUUAUAAGUUCUCAUUUACUUUUUAAAUUUUAUAGCUGGUUUUUAAUUCAUUAUCAUAGUCAUUAAAGAGCCUUUGUUCACAUCACAGAACAUAGUGUAUUGGUUACUGUUAUUAUUUUGAAGGCCUUUUCCACACCUCAGCCACACAGCCUCUAUCCACCCAGUCUUGAAUGACAUUCCCUCCUUUCCCUAUAGCUGUGCUUUAUGU